RNAcentral lists this ribosomal RNA (465 nucleotides) under Vreelandella stevensii. Its description in RNAcentral is "partial 16S ribosomal RNA". It matches the Rfam family "Bacterial small subunit ribosomal RNA", at positions 338 to 795 of the family's 1533-position model. The record is from RNAcentral. Lineage: Bacteria; Pseudomonadati; Pseudomonadota; Gammaproteobacteria; Oceanospirillales; Halomonadaceae.
CCUACGGGGCGCAGCAGUGGGGAAUAUUGGACAAUGGGGGCAACCCUGAUCCAGCCAUGCCGCGUGUGUGAAGAAGGCCCUCGGGUUGUAAAGCACUUUCAGUGAGGAAGAACGCCUGGUGGUUAAUACCCAUCAGGAAAGACAUCACUCACAGAAGAAGCACCGGCUAACUCCGUGCCAGCAGCCGCGGUAAUACGGAGGGUGCGAGCGUUAAUCGGAAUUACUGGGCGUAAAGCGCGCGUAGGUGGCUUGAUAAGCCGGUUGUGAAAGCCCCGGGCUCAACCUGGGAACGGCAUCCGGAACUGUCAAGCUAGAGUGCAGGAGAGGAAGGUAGAAUUCCCGGUGUAGCGGUGAAAUGCGUAGAGAUCGGGAGGAAGACCAGUGGCGAAGGCGGCCUUCUGGACUGACACUGACACUGAGGUGCGAAAGCGUGGGUAGCAAACAGGAUUAGAUACCCCAGUAGUC